This 248-nucleotide ribosomal RNA is filed under the name uncultured bacterium. RNAcentral describes it as "partial 16S ribosomal RNA". It matches the Rfam family "Bacterial small subunit ribosomal RNA", at positions 524 to 773 of the family's 1533-position model. The record is from RNAcentral.
UACGUAGGUGGCAAGCGUUGUCCGGAAUUAUUGGGCGUAAAGCGCGCGCAGGCGGUCCUUUAAGUCUGAUGUGAAAGCCCACGGCUCAACCGUGGAGGGUCAUUGGAAACUGGAGGACUUGAGUGCAGAAGAGGAAAGUGGAAUUCCAAGUGUAGCGGUGAAAUGCGUAGAGAUUGGAGGAACACCAGUGGCGAAGGCGACUUCUGGUCUGUAACUGACGCUGAGGCGCGAAAGCGUGGGGAGCAAAC